This is an RNA transcript of Acipenser ruthenus (sterlet), 2193 nucleotides long. It is a transcript of the gene named core histone macro-H2A.1, with no coding region annotated. Lineage: Eukaryota; Metazoa; Chordata; Actinopteri; Acipenseriformes; Acipenseridae. The transcript has 7 exons. The record is from RefSeq and is a predicted model, not a curated record.
UGGUGGUGGAUUUAGAUAUUGACCAGCCUCUUGCAAGGUCAGUACGGUGAAGGUGUUUUUAAUGCACGGAUGAUGAUAAUAUAGCAUUUAGUCCAGUGGAAGCCAGUGUCUUUUUUGUUUUUGUCUACUCUGAGAUGAGAAAUGUUUUCUGGAGUGAUCCUGUGCACUUUGUGAAAAUGUCUUCUGAUGUCAGCCAUUCCUAUAUUGUUUGAAAAGCUAUGCAAUUUGAAAUGCCAUCGCUUAACGCAUACCCUGCAUGAAGUCUUGAGACUCCACAGGGGAUGUUGCACUAUCCUAUUCAUUGCACAGAGCUGCUCCUCUGGUGCUGGAGCGUUGUGAUUCCGCUCGCUGUGGAUUGUGGGAGUGUGGCUGGGAGACGCAGCUCUGCCGUCUCUGAGUCUGUAGUGUAUGUGAAGCGGAGAGAGGAACAGCAGUAGACAUAUUGAAACAGUGCUUUAUCCUCACCACACUGAAUACUGGCACCUCACAAUGUCCAGCCGAGGAGGAAAGAAAAAGAGCACCAAGACAUCUCGCUCCACGAAGGCCGGCGUGAUCUUCCCUGUGGGGCGCAUGCUGCGCUACAUCAAGAAGGGGCACCCCAAGUACAGGAUCGGGGUGGGGGCGCCUGUGUACAUGGCAGCCGUGCUGGAGUACCUGACAGCUGAAAUCUUAGAGCUGGCGGGAAACGCUGCUCGGGACAACAAGAAAGGCCGGGUCACUCCCAGACACAUCCUGCUGGCGAUCGCCAAUGAUGAAGAGCUCAACCAGCUGCUGAAAGGAGUUACAAUCGCCGCUGGAGGCGUGUUACCCAACAUUCACCCUGAGCUGCUCGCCAAGAAGCGGGGUUCAAAGGGCAAGCUGGAGGCCAUCAUCACCCCCCCGCCCGCCAAGAAAUCCAAGCUCCCCCCGGCCCAGAAAACAGGGCCCAAGAGAGCAGGGGGCAAGAAGGGAGCUGGGGGCAAGAAGAAGAAGCAGGGAGAGGUCAGUAAAGCAGCCAGCGCUGACAGCACCACCGAGGGGCCCCCAGCGGACGGGUUCACUGUCCUCUCCACCAAGAGCCUCUUCCUGGGGCAAAAGCUGAACCUCAUUCACAGUGAAAUCACUAACUUGGCUGGGUUUGAUGUGGAGGCUGUUAUCAAUCCUACCAAUGCUGACAUUGACCUUAAAGAUGAUCUAGGUAAAGGGAAGGUGUCUAUUCUCACCCACACACUGGCUUGCAGAGCUGCAAGGAAUACAACUGAAGUGAUGCACAGAGCGCGCCUUUCCCAGAGCAAGCAGGCAUUUAUAUACAGUAUAUAUAUAAUUAUCCAUGCGUAUUCACAAGAAAAGGAUUGUAUUUGUUCAAGGUCUGUAUUGCAUUUAUUAACAGAAGCAUGGAGGGUUUAUAUUAGCGCUAUACAAGCAGCCCUGCUUGUGGUGAAGGCACACUGAUGCACUGCAUACAGGAUGAGAAUAUGCAAGUUGCAUGGGAUAUGUUUGAUAUUUAAAACCAGUCAUUUCAGUUCUUUCCAUGACAGCUCUGAAGUUCACUGUUAAUUGUUUCAUGUUCUGUAAAGAUACAGGAAAUCCUUGACAAGUACAAAAAUAAACUAAAUAAAUGAAUACCCUGUAUAACUCCUGCAGAAUCAAAUGAAGCAGCGUGUUGCUGCAUUACAUGUGAAUCCUACAGCAGUGUCUGUGACACAAGAGAAAGCAGUUAUUUAGUUUGUCUUUCAAGGAUUGUGCCGAAUCUCUGCAGAGAGGGUGUGACAUAAUGAAGUUGUGAUGAAGUUGUGCUUGCUGUGACUGCGCUGUAUUCCAUGCGUCUCUCCGGUCUCCUCGAGGAUCUCAUCUUCCAUCACACUUCAGUUGAUUGAUUUUCAGCUUGCCGUCUCUCUCUCUCUCUCUCUCUCUCUCUCUCUCUCUCUCUCUCUCUCUCUCUCUAUUUGUUUUUCCCACGAGCCUGGCCUGGCCUGAGAGGAAUUCUUUCCUAAAUGUUCCCAUCCGUUCCCAUCCUGUCCCCCAGUGGUUCUGACUCCAUGUUAUUUGCCUGCUGUUGUUGUAGUUGCAAGUUGUUCAGGCUGACAUUGCCACCAUCGACUGCGACGCUGUAAUCCACCCGACCAAUACUGAUCUCUACACAGGAGGGGAAGUAGGGAGCGCUCUGGAGAAGAAAGGGGGCAAGGAGUUUGAGGAGGCGGUCAGCGAGCUGCG